UAAUGUAUGGAUAACGUACCCCAGGCACCGGGAUAGCAGCGGGAAACUGUUGGUAAUACCGGAUGAUGUUCCAAACCCCUUGGGGCUUGGAAUCAAAGGAUGGCCUCUACUUGUAAGCUAUCGGCGUGGGAGCGGUCCAUAUCCUAUCAGCUAGUUGGCGGGGUAACGGCCCACCAAGGCAACGACGGGUAGCGGGACUGAGAGGUUGACCCGCCGCAUUGGGACUGAGACACUGCCCAGACUCCUACGGGAGGCUGCAGUAACGAAUAUUGGACAAUGAGCGAAAGCUUGAUCCAGCGACGCCGCGUGCAGGAAGAAGUCCUUCGGGAUGUAAACUGCUGUCAGGGACCACCAAGCAAGGAAGGUUAAUACCCUUCUGCGUUGAGGACUCCCAGAGGAAGCCACGGCUAACUUCGUGCCAGCAGCCGCGGUAAUACGAAGGUGGCGAGCGUUGUUCGGAAUCACUGGGCUUAAAGCGUGUGUAGGCGGACUGUCAAGCGUUUUGUGAAAGGCCUCGGCUUAACCGGGGAAUUGCUUGACGAACUGAUAGUCUUGAGGCAGGUAGGGGCAACUGGAACUCUUGGUGGAGCGGUGGAAUGCGUAGAUAUCAAGAGGAACGCCAGAGGCGAAGGCGAGUUGCUGGGCCUGUCCUGACGCUGAGACACGAAAGCCAGGGGAGCGAACGGGAUUAGAUACCCCGGUAGUCCUGGCCCUAAACGAUGUCCACUAGAUCGGAGGCACUCUGACGUGUUUCUGGUCUGAAUUGUUAACGGUAAUUGGACCGCCUGGGUAGUUACGGUCGCAAGGCUUUUACUCUAAGGAAUUGACGUGGGCUCACACAAGCGGUGGAGCAUGUUGCUUAAUUCGAUGCAACGCGAAGAACCUUAUCCUAGGCUUGACAUAUACGUAUGCCUACUGGGAAACCAGGUCGUCUGCCCUUCGGGGUGAUACGUAUACAGGUGCUGCAUGGCUGUCGUCAGCUCGUGUCGUGAGAUGUUGGGUUAAGUCCCGUAACGAGCGAAACCCUUGUCGUUAGUUGCCAGCGCGUAAUGGCGGGGACUCUAACGAGACUGCCGGUGUUAAACCGGAGGAAGGUGGGGAUGACGUCAAGUCCUCAUGGCCUUUAUGCCUAGGGCUGCAAACGUGCUACAAUGGCCGGUACAAAACGAAGCGAGACCGCGAGGUGGAGCAAAUCGUAAAAAACCGGCCCCAGUUCGGAUUGGAGUCUGCAACUCGACUCCAUGAAGUUGGAAUCGCUAGUAAUCGCGUAUCAGCGUGACGCGGUGAAUGUGUUCCUGAGCAUUGUACACACCGCCCGUCAAGUCAUGGAAGCCGGGAGCACCCGAAGUCGG
Molecule: ribosomal RNA, 1352 nt
Filed under: uncultured organism
Description: bacterial SSU rRNA
Rfam family: Bacterial small subunit ribosomal RNA
Source: RNAcentral